This 428-nucleotide ribosomal RNA is filed under the name uncultured bacterium. Its description in RNAcentral is "partial 16S ribosomal RNA". It matches the Rfam family "Bacterial small subunit ribosomal RNA", at positions 354 to 796 of the family's 1533-position model. The record is from RNAcentral.
GUGGGGAAUAUUGGGCAAUGGGCGCAAGCCUGACCCAGCAACGCCGCGUGAAGGAAGAAGGCUUUCGGGUUGUAAACUUCUUUUACCAGGGACGAAACAAAUGACGGUACCUGGUGAAUAAGCCACGGCUAACUACGUGCCAGCAGCCGCGGUAAUACGUAGGUGGCGAGCGUUAUCCGGAUUUAUUGGGUGUAAAGGGCGUGUAGGCGGGACAGCAAGUCAGAUGUGAAAACCAGAGGCUCAACCUCUGGCCUGCAUUUGAAACUGUGGUUCUGGAGUGUCGGAGAGGUAAUCGGAAUUCCGUGUGUGGCGGUGAAAUGCGUAGAUAUACGGAGGAACACCAGUGGCGAAGGCGGAUUACUGGACGAUAACUGACGCUGAGGCGCGAAAGCGUGGGGAGCAAACAGGAUUAGAUACCCUGGUAGUCC